CCUACGGGUGGCAGCAGUGAGGAAUAUUGGUCAAUGGACGAGAGUCUGAACCAGCCAAGUAGCGUGAAGGAUGACUGCCCUAUGGGUUGUAAACUUCUUUUAUAUGGGAAUAAAAUGUUCCACGUGUGGGAUUUUGUAUGUACCAUAUGAAUAAGGAUCGGCUAACUCCGUGCCAGCAGCCGCGGUAAUACAGAGGAUCCGAGCGUUAUCCGGAUUUAUUGGGUUUAAAGGGAGCGUAGGUGGAUUGUUAAGUCAGUUGUGAAAGUUUGCGGCUCAACCGUAAAAUUGCAGUUGAAACUGGCAGUCUUGAGUACAGUAGAGGUGGGCGGAAUUCGUGGUGUAGCGGUGAAAUGCUUAGAUAUCACGAAGAACUCCGAUUGCGAAGGCAGUUCACUGGACUGCAACUGACACUGAGGCUCGAAAGUGUGGGUAUCAAACAGGAUUAGAUACCCUAGUAGUC
RNAcentral lists this ribosomal RNA (460 nucleotides) under uncultured bacterium. RNAcentral's name for it is "partial 16S ribosomal RNA". It matches the Rfam family "Bacterial small subunit ribosomal RNA", at positions 338 to 795 of the family's 1533-position model. The record is from RNAcentral.